CAAUCUAUAUAAGAAUGCGAAACUCUUCUCAAGUUCACUCCUCAAUUGCACUUCCUGGUUCUUGUUCCUCUUAAAUUUGGUUUUCUGUGGUACUAUUGUUCUUUAUUUUCUCUUCUUCUUUCCCAAUUGUUGGGUUCUUUCUUUCUCUGCUAUAACUUUGAAUAAUGGGAAUGGAGUAAUGGGAUCAAGGCUCUACUGUGGGUGAAUUUCAGAGGCUCGGUUCAACAAAAUUUCUACGGGAGGGGAAUUGUUGGUGCUUUUGCAAAAUCUGAUUGAUUAGGGUUUUAAAGAAUGUAUGAAUCAACAAUGAGUCCAAAUUCCACAUUCUUGCAAUGAAGUUGUAUGAGCCCUGUGUAAUAAUUGGCAGAAGGAUACUCUAACUGGAAUAAAAAUUGGCAGAAAUACCAAGGGAGUUUUACUAUUUCUCAAGCAUGGAAAAUUUUGGCAUCUUAUAUUGUAUGUUGACUCUAAUUAUGAAAUGCUCAUAUAAUUUUCACUUAUAAAUUGCAGCUCAAUUUAGUUAUAUUAAGGAAUCUGAGGAGAUUCGUCUUGCUAUGUUACCAUUGGAGUUGAUAAAGAGAGUGUUUCAAAUUGGUUUUGUUUAUUUAUUGUGUUUCUUGCUAAAUAGUAUUUUCUGAGCAUAACUUGUUCCCAGGAUGUCCAAAGUAGGAAUGUUAUUUGAAAAUAAUUAUUUUCCUAACACAUUUGAUUUCUAGAACAAACAUUAUACCUCAUUUUUUGUUAAAUAUUCAUCCUUUAGCGACAACAUUGUCAACCUUAAAGGGGUCAUUUUUCAAGUCAUUCAAGAAGCACUUUCCUUAUAGUUGUUUCAGGGUACUGGACUUUAUUAAGCAACUUGCCAUAUCUGUAUUUCUUUAGCCAUAUUUUUCAGGGUUUCGCUUCAUUGCUGAGAGGAUGUGAAUUUGAAAGGAGGAAUGUAAUACUGUCCCAUAGCAUGGCGCUAUAUUGUCAUUCUACUGCCUCAUGAAAAACUAAACCUGUAUUUUUCUCCUGGACAAAGUCUGGUCAUUGGAAGAGAAAUUGUGGAGUUGUAGUUCUGCAGCUUGUCAUGUGAAAUCCUCAUUGAUGUUAAUCAGAUACUCAGAUCUCCAAUUUGUCCCUUUUUAUCCGAAUCUAGAUUGAAAAGUCAAACUUUAUCCAUAAUUACGUGUGGCCAUGGGGUAUUUCAAGAUGAGUGUUAUAAUUAACUUUUUCAACAUGGCUACAAGUUCACACACAAGAAUCCCCAUCCUCUUAAGCUUUUUCAUUUUUGCAUUUUGCAGUUUGGAUUUUACCAUUAAAAAUUGGCAGUACUAAUGCUUUCAUGUUUUAGUUAUAACUUAAAAUUUACCUCAAAAAAUUGGCAAAUAAGAUUUAUUAAACUUUUGAGUGGGCCAAUAUUUGUUACUCAAUGCUGCAAAAGUGUCAUUUGACUUCCUUUGAGGGGCUGAUAACGGGUCAGAAAUGUUUUAUUCAAUGACCGGAGGUUCGGUUAUGCUGAAUUUUUACACGAAUGAUUUCUCUGUGACUGUGAAUGUCUUCCUUCAUAGGUGAGAGAGAUUGAGCAGGAUGUAUACACCGAAUCAGAAACAGCCCAGAAGAAAGACUCGAAGCAGACUGCUGCAGUUGAUCUGUCUAAAAGGUUAAAAGAUACCUGUUCCUUAAAUGACGCUGCCAGCCUGAAAGGUAUCUUUCUUUCCUCCUUGUAAAUCUACUUUGAUUUCUACUUUAUUAUAUGUGCACAUGUUCAAAGAUCGAACUCCGAAUAUGUGAUGCUCAUCACUUCUCUGUUGUCAGAAAAAUAUAAAUUGAGUUGAAGUGUAUACAUGGAGUCUUUAUUUCAUUGUAUUUGGAUCAUCAUUACCAACAUGACAUAUGCAUGAGGGUCUUUUAUUGAUUCAGUAAAGCUUAUACGGUUAGGAAUAAUAAAUUCCUUGUAGGCUUAUACAUCUUUACUGUUAAACAAAUGAUCAGUUACUCAGUUUCUACAAUUUAGUGCAUUCUUUUUCUUUUGACAUGGAUUUGGCUAGACAUGCAUCUUCUGCCAGAAGUAUUUUGAAUCUUGUACUCUAUAAAUCCCAACAGUUUUUUCUCAUUUGCAUAUUACUUCAAACCUCUGAGGCUCUAAAGUCCCAUUUGGUAGCAAUCUUAGGAUACAAAACAUGGAGAUAUUGAGACAGUAGAGACGAAAAAAAUCUGUCCCUAUUGCUCCCAUGCAGUGAUCAGAGAAUACAAAGACACAUCUUGGAACAAAAAUAUUUUUGUUUCUCCUUCUCAAGUUUUACAGUCUCCACCUGAGCUUCAGUGUGCUUGCUGUGCUGGCUCUGUUACAAAGACAGCCAAUGGUGCCUUUGUUAUCAUUCCAAAAUGCUGAUUUCAUUUUUAUGUCUUCACUCUAGCUGAUUGCCUACUGAACCAACAAACUUGUACCUACAAUUCAAGACAUGCACAAUUCUGAUUGCUA
Long non-coding RNA from Arachis stenosperma, 2464 nucleotides. RefSeq lists it as uncharacterized. NCBI's taxonomy places the organism in Eukaryota, Viridiplantae, Streptophyta, Magnoliopsida, Fabales, Fabaceae. The record is from RefSeq and is a predicted model, not a curated record. The transcript is spliced from 2 exons.